AAAAAGAUAAGCUAAUAAAAGCUCAUAGGUUCAUACCCUUUAUAUGAAAGUUUUAAUCUUUCUCUUUUUA
RNAcentral lists this transfer RNA (70 nucleotides) under Lissodema cursor. RNAcentral describes it as "tRNA-Met". It matches the Rfam family "tRNA". From Rfam's summary of the family: Transfer RNA (tRNA) molecules are approximately 80 nucleotides in length. Their secondary structure includes four short double-helical elements and three loops (D, anti-codon, and T loops). The record is from RNAcentral. Lineage: Eukaryota; Metazoa; Arthropoda; Insecta; Coleoptera; Salpingidae.